RNAcentral lists this ribosomal RNA (83 nucleotides) under Erinaceus europaeus (western European hedgehog). Lineage: Eukaryota; Metazoa; Chordata; Mammalia; Eulipotyphla; Erinaceidae. The record is from RNAcentral.
GUCUACGGCCAUACCACCCUGAACACGCCCAAUCUUGUCUGAUCUCGGAAGAAAUUAAGAGUAAGGAAGUCAGGCUGUAGCAC